GAUUGAACGCUGGCGGCAUGCCUUACACAUGCAAGUCGAACGGCAGCACGGGGGCAACCCUGGUGGCGAGUGGCGAACGGGUGAGUAAUACAUCGGAACGUGUCCUGUAGUGGGGGAUAGCCCGGCGAAAGCCGGAUUAAUACCGCAUACGAUCUACGGAGGAAAGCGGGGGAUCUUCGGACCUCGCGCUAUAGGGGCGGCCGAUGGCAGAUUAGCUAGUUGGUGGGGUAAAGGCCUACCAAGGCGACGAUCUGUAGCUGGUCUGAGAGGACGACCAGCCACACUGGGACUGAGACACGGCCCAGACUCCUACGGGAGGCAGCAGUGGGGAAUUUUGGACAAUGGGGGCAACCCUGAUCCAGCAAUGCCGCGUGUGUGAAGAAGGCCUUCGGGUUGUAAAGCACUUUUGUCCGGAAAGAAAACUUCGUCCCUAAUAUGGAUGGAGGAUGACGGUACCGGAAGAAUAAGCACCGGCUAACUACGU
This 484-nucleotide ribosomal RNA is filed under the name Burkholderia sp. 'ARUP UnID 166'. RNAcentral describes it as "bacterial SSU rRNA". It matches the Rfam family "Bacterial small subunit ribosomal RNA", at positions 27 to 506 of the family's 1533-position model. The record is from RNAcentral. Lineage: Bacteria; Pseudomonadati; Pseudomonadota; Betaproteobacteria; Burkholderiales; Burkholderiaceae.